RNAcentral lists this ribosomal RNA (253 nucleotides) under uncultured bacterium. Its description in RNAcentral is "partial 16S ribosomal RNA". It matches the Rfam family "Bacterial small subunit ribosomal RNA", at positions 524 to 776 of the family's 1533-position model. The record is from RNAcentral.
UACAGAGGUCUCAAGCGUUGUUCGGAUUCAUUGGGCGUAAAGGGUGCGUAGGCGGCGCGGUAAGUCGGGUGUGAAAUCUCGGAGCUUAACUCCGAAACUGCAUUCGAUACUGCCGUGCUUGAGGACUGGAGAGGAGACUGGAAUUUACGGUGUAGCGGUGAAAUGCAUAGAUGUCGUAAGGAAGACCAGUGGCGAAGGCGGGUCUCUGGACAGUUCCUGACGCUGAGGCACGAAGGUCAGGGGAGCAAACGGG